GGAGAUUGUCAACGUCGAGUCUUCCCAAUCUGAUCAUUCAAGAGGAAAUGGCCUCCCGGAAUCCUAAAGCAGCUGAUUGGUCGGUCCCAUCCCUGAUUGGAGCUCUGACCCCUCCCUCUUGUCAGGGGAAACAGCUGUCUCUUCAAUUACCAACUCCUUCUCCAGCUUGAUAAAAGCCAGUGUUCCUUUGUCAGAGAGGAGAACUUUUUUAUUUUUUAAAUAUUUUUUUAAAUGACAUUUUUUAAUGUCCUGUGUUGGUUAGUGACAGUUUGGUUGAUAUUAUUAUGUAGCCACUCCUUCAGAGGUAUGUGUAUGCCAACAGGACUUAGUGUUUUUGGGUCAUUUAAAUUGUUCACGUACAUUACUGGUAAAUGAUUCUGUUUAAUUUGUUCCCAGGGGGGGACGCACCUUGGGAGUGUUUAGGUAAGAGGCCUGCGGGCAUACAUAACCCGUAGUAUUUAAUCUGUCCAUGCACUCUAGGUAAGACCUGUUAGUGCACCAGGUGGUGCUAAAGGUUAGGUAAGACCUGGGAGGACCACUCCCUGUGUUUUGGUUAGCGCGCCAGGUGGUACUAAAGGUUAGGUAAGACCUGGGCUGACCACCUCCUGUGUUUUGGUUAGCACGCCAGGUGGUGCUGAAGGCUAGGUAAGACCUGGGCGGACCACCCCCUGUGUUUUGGUUAGCGCGCCAGGUAGUGCUGAAGGCUAGGUAAGACCUGGGUGGACCACCCCCUGUGUUUUGGUUAGCGCGCCAGGUGGUACUAAAGGUUAGGAAAGUAGUGGGAAGGCAGGUAAGGUAGGAGAGGGGACUCUUUUAAUUUUUACUUUCAUUUCUUUGUUUCCCGUCCAGACCCUUUUCCCCACACUAGUGUUAAGGAAUAAUAAACUCCCUGUAAACUGUAUUUUUCUCUGCCUCUGUCGUCCUUCCCAUCACCUAUGAUCACAUACUGUUUUCACUCCACGGGGAGGUGAGAUGUAGCAGGAUGUCGCGUUCCCUCCUCCAAG
This is a long non-coding RNA of Oncorhynchus tshawytscha (Chinook salmon), 1004 nucleotides long. Lineage: Eukaryota; Metazoa; Chordata; Actinopteri; Salmoniformes; Salmonidae. The record is from Ensembl.